UUUGUAGGCGGUAUUUAGCUGUUAAAUGUUAAAAAUUAAAGCUCAACUUUAAAAAUGCAUUUAAAACGUUUAUACUGGAGUGCGAAGCAGGAUAAUGGAAUUUUACAAGGAGGGGUGAAAUCCGUAGAACUGUAAAGGAACGUCGAAAGCGAAGGCAGUUGUCUAGGUCGUUACUGACGCUGAGGAACGAAAGCGUGGGUAUCAAACA
RNAcentral lists this ribosomal RNA (208 nucleotides) under uncultured Rickettsiales bacterium. RNAcentral's name for it is "partial 16S ribosomal RNA". It matches the Rfam family "Bacterial small subunit ribosomal RNA", at positions 568 to 774 of the family's 1533-position model. The record is from RNAcentral. Lineage: Bacteria; Pseudomonadati; Pseudomonadota; Alphaproteobacteria; Rickettsiales.